Long non-coding RNA from Perognathus longimembris pacificus (Pacific pocket mouse), 485 nucleotides. RefSeq lists it as uncharacterized. The transcript is spliced from 3 exons. Lineage: Eukaryota; Metazoa; Chordata; Mammalia; Rodentia; Heteromyidae. The record is from RefSeq and is a predicted model, not a curated record.
UUGUAGUAUUUUUCUAUUUAUAUAAUCUGAUGCAAACAUAUGCACUUAUGUAUGUGAAUAAUUUCAUUUCAAUACUUUUUGGUUCCCAUUCAGUUAUGGUGUCUGACCCAAAAUUUUGCCUAACCAAGGCCUAUCCUCAUAAAAUUAAAAAGGUUGUUCUAAGGCUGAGCACAGUGAAGCAUUCUAUCAUCCCAGCAAAUUGGGGGGCAAAAACUGGGAUCAUGGUUUGAGGCUAGCCUAGGCAAAUAGUAACCCUACUCAACAAAAGCCAGGAACAGUAAUAUAUACCUGUAGUCCCAGUUAUGCUGAAAUCAUAGGUAGGAACGUCAAUGUGGACAAAAGUACAAGAUCCUGUCUGAAAAAUAACUAAAGCAAAAAGAAAUGGGAGUUGUGGCUCAAAGCUGUCCAUAUUUGAUAUAGAAAUGCAUCAACUAUUCUCAAGACUUGGCCCCUUCAAAUCGGGGGAUGAAGGCUGGGAAUAUGGC